CUGGCGGCUGCUACACUGCAGUCGAGCGGAAGAUGGGAGCUUGCUCCCUGAUGUUUGCGGCGGACGGGUGAGUAACACCUGAGUAACCUGCCUGUAAGACUGGGAUAACUCCGGGAAACCGGGGCUAAUACCGGAUGGUUGUUUGAACCGCAUGGUUCAAACAUAAAAGGUGGCUUCGGCUACCACUUACAUAUGGACCCGCGGCGCAUUAGCUAAUUGGUGAGGUAACGGCUCUCAAGGCCACGAUGCAUAGCCGACCUGAGAGGGUGAUCGGCCACACUGGGACUGAGACACGGCCCAAACUCCUACGGGAGGUUUUGUAGGGAAUCUUCCGCAAUGGACGAAAGUCUGACGGAGCAACACCACGUGAGUGAUGAAGGUUUUCGGAUCGUACAGCUCUGUUGUUACGGAAGAACAAAUACCGUUCAAAUAAGGGGGUACCUUGACGGUACCUAACCAAAAUACCUCGGCUAACUACCUGCCAGCAGCCGCGGUAAUACGUAGGUGGCAAGCGUUGUCCGGAAUUAUUGCGCGUAAAGGUCUCACAGGCGGUUUCUUAAUUCUGAUGUGUAAGCCCCCGGCUCAACCUGGGAGGGUCAUUGUAAACUGUGUCAACUUGAGUGCAGAAUACGAGAGUGAAUUACAUUUGAUUCGUGUAU
This 659-nucleotide ribosomal RNA is filed under the name Bacillus subtilis. Its description in RNAcentral is "bacterial SSU rRNA". It matches the Rfam family "Bacterial small subunit ribosomal RNA", at positions 36 to 686 of the family's 1533-position model. Lineage: Bacteria; Bacillati; Bacillota; Bacilli; Caryophanales; Bacillaceae. The record is from RNAcentral.